AUCACUUUGCUGUAAUAGAGAGGAGUGAGAUCAUUUUGCUGAUAAUAGGGAGGAGUGAGAUCACUUUGCUGAUAAUAGGGAGGAGUGAGAUCACUUUGCUGUAAUAAAGAGGAGUGAGAUCACUUUUCUGAUAAUAGAGAGGUGUGAGAUCACUUUGCUGUAAUAGAGAGGAGUGAGAUCACUUUGCUGUAAUAGAGAGGAGAUCACUUUGCUGUAAUAGAGAGGAGUGAGAUCACUUUGCUGUAAUAGAGAGGAGUGAGAUCACUUUGCUGAUAAUAGGGAGGAGUGAGAUCACUUUGCUGAUAAUAGAGGAGUAAGAUCACUUUGCUGAUAAUAGAGGAGUAAGAUCACUUUGCUGAUAAUAGAGGAGUAAGAUCACUUUGCUGAUAAUACAUAGAAGUGAGAUCACUUUGCUGUAAUAGGGAGGAGUGAGAUCACUUUGCUGAUAAUAGGGAGGGGUAAGAUCACUUUGCUGAUAACAGGGAGGGGUCAGAACGCUUUGCUGAUAAUACAUAGGAGUGAGAUCACUUUGCUGUAAUAGAUAGGAGUAAGCUCACUUUGCUGAUAAUACAUAGGAGGGAGAUCACUUUGCUGAUAAUUGGGAGGAGUCAGACCACUUUGAUGAUGAUAGAUAGGAGUGAGAUUACUUUUAAUAGUACAAGCUUGUCAUGCACAGUUCUAAGCCUUACCACGACAAGCUAGGUAUCCUCUUUCUCUCGAAGUUUUUCGAGUCGAACGAGCAAUGAUAGGUCUUCAGGUCCAUCGAACAAUGAUAGGUCUUCAGGUCCAACGAGCAAUGAUAGGCAUCGAAGAAUAGGUCUUCAGGUCCAACGAACAAUGACAGGUCUUCAGGUACAUCGAAUGAUAGGUCUUCAGGUCCAUCGAGCAAUGAUAGGUCUUCAGGUCUAUCGAAGGAUAGGUCUUAAGGUCCAACGAGCAAUGAUAGGUCUUCAGGUACAUUGAGCGAUGAUAGGUAUUCAUGUACAUCGAGCAAAAUAGGUCUACGUUUCAUCGAGCAAUAAAUACUACUUAUUAACCGAGGGCGAGGUCCGUACUGGGAAAUCUCAGCCCGCGGGACCAAGGGCUAUAAUUUCUCAGUACGGACCGAGCAAUCGAGGUUAAUAAGUUAUUUAUUACAUGGCUCUUUUAAAUAUUUGUACAAAAAGGAAAACUUAUGCUGAAGUGAAAGAAGGAACCGUUUCUGGAUUUACAAGCCACGAGUGCUCAACUCCAAAGCUCAAAAUAACGAGUCGAUUUGUUAAAUGACCAUCGAAAACUUGCUUUUUACGGCGAUUUUUACCGAUCUUCACAGGAAACCCUCUUUUUUAUGUUAUUUCAUUUAGAUUAGUUGUCUUUAUGGAAAAUCAUCUUCAAACUCCCUGUGUUAUGACAUAUCUUGUUAGAUUAAUAUAUAGAUUUAGGCACGGCCUAAAAGCUGAGCCAACUUUAUUUGCCACUCUUAACUAGGGUUUUGUCCCCAUCCCAUUCCCCCCCCCCCCCUCCUCCCAACCCCUACGAAGACCAAACUUAAGCGAGAGACACACCCAGGAUUCUACACUUUGACUAUGCUCCAGGUAUUCCUAAAAUGAGCCCUAUCUAAAUGCACAAAAAUGCAUGGCUUAUUACCUUUCCUAUUAUUCCUAUUAUAAAGUUAUUAUUGAAAAAAUCCAUAGGACAAUUUACAAGAAAAAAGACUGCUGUUACCUAUGCAAAUCAAUGCACAUGAGAAUAAUACAAUCAGUUUGCUGGUUCAUUUGCAAUAACAGUCAUUAAGUUAAGUACAGAAUACCUCUGGUCUUCAAGCAUCAGAAACCAUAUGGGAAGUAUCAACAAUAUUCAGAGCAGAUUAUGUUGGCUUAUAGGGAAAGAAUGUGGGUUGAUUGAAUAUAAUUAUACUAAACAAUAAAAUAAUAUGAAAAACAUUUUUUACAUAUGCUUUCAGGUGUAUCGUUGUGGGGGUAAUUUAGGCUAAGCAAACACGCCAGUAGUUUCAAAAACAACUGAUUUACUUCAGCCAUGCUUUCAACCUCGUGUCCCUACAUUCAUAGCGCGUACCACAGCUACUUGGUAUUUUUGUGGGCAAGAGGAUAAAUUCGUUAUUACCUCAAAGGCUUUCCAGGUUUGUUGCCAAUUCCCCCAAUUCUUUGCAAGAUCACCUGUCAGGUUUAAAGGUUGUGGGAGGGGGAGGGGGAUAUUCGACGUACAGAUCUGCUGCUGCGGAGGUGGAGGAUUUGUAGGUUGCUCGGGAUCCGGCAUGUUUGUUUCCUCGUCAGUCACUGAAUGAAACUCUGCUCCAAACGGCUCUAUUUUGCUCCAAAUUUCGCCAGGAAUCUCCCAAAACUGUUCUCCAGAGGCUGGUCCGGCUUAUUCUGACACCAUGUAUCGUUGUGGGGGUAAUUUAGGCUAAGCAAACACGCCAGUAGUUCAAAAACAACUGAUUUACUUCAGCCAUGCUUUCAAACUCGAGUCCUUACAUUCAUAGUGCGUACCACAGGGAUAAUGAAUUUUGAUAUACUAAAUUCCUUGCUUUAUUCACCUUGUCAUUUCAUAGCUAAUACUAGCUAUAUUAAUGUCAUUACUUAGCAUGUACAUAGGCAAGCACUUUUUAUCUCACCAUAGCUUGGUAUAAAAGAGACAAGAAAAUAAAAACAAAUUAUAAUAGGUACCAAAUAAUAAAUCUAAACAUAGAUAUUUUUAUAGAGAAGUGAUAGAACCCCAUUUUAGAGCCCAAGAACCCCCUUGAAAAUAAGAUGAAAACUA
Molecule: long non-coding RNA, 2760 nt
Organism: Nematostella vectensis (starlet sea anemone)
Lineage: Eukaryota; Metazoa; Cnidaria; Anthozoa; Actiniaria; Edwardsiidae
Exons: 2
Source: RefSeq, a predicted model, not a curated record